GAGGAGAAAAGAAAGCCAUUGAAGCUUCCUUAGUUUCGGCAUUUGCAUGAAGUGAUUUAGGUAUGUUUUGUGUUCGGUUUUUGAUAAUUUUUAUGUUUUUGAGAUCGUUGCUUCGUAUUCUAGCUAGCCCGUAUCUCUGAUUUCAAAACUGUUAAAGUAUUUGAAUGUUGCCAUUGUUGAGUGCAUGAGUAUUUUGAUAGUUGAUGAUGGAAAAUAAAUUAUUGUUGUUGGAUAUACAUGUUUUGUAAAGUAAAUUUUGGUAAAAAUGUCAAUUUUGGAUUAAAUUGUGAAUUAUUGAAAUUAUGUGGUUGAAAGUGUGAAUAAAUGAAACUAUGGGCUGUUAUGAAGUAGUAGUAAAUUCAUCUAGGCAUGGGUUUGGCCAAAAUUGAAUGAAUUUAAUUUUUCGAGCUUAGGGACUAAAUUGUAAAGAAGUUGAAAUAUCAGGGGCAAAAAUGUAAUUUUUCCAUAAAGUAAUUUAUGGGCUGUUUUAAUACCAUGAAUAUUCGGUUAAGCUUAAAUAUGGUUAAAAACAGUUAAUUUGCAUUUUUUUAGCUCAGUGACUAAAUUGAAUAAAAGUAAAACUUUAAGGGUAAAAUAGUAAUUUUACCAAAAUAUGAAAUUGAGUUAAAAUGAAUAGAAUAUGAAUUGUAAUAGUUAAAUUUGAUUGAUUAGAUCAAGUUAAGCCUCGUACGAGUCUAUAUCGAGGGAAAAACAAAGUAUCGGAUUCGUCGAUCUAAUUUAUCGUUACCGCGAACGAGGUAAGUUCGUAUGCAAUAAGCAUUGUUAAAUUUAUGUUUCUAAUGCUUUAAUAUCGUAUAAAUUGUAUAUACGUGAAUAUUUUAAUGUCUGACGACAUAUCGACAAAAUGUGGCACUUAGUGUGCGGGGCAAUCAAAUAUGGUACUUAGUGUACGAAAUAUUGAGAAUGGCACUUAGUGUACGAAAUAUUGAGAAUGUCACUUAGUGUGCGAGAUAUUGAGAAUGGCACUUAGUGUGCAAAAUAUCGAAUGAUUCAAAGGGAAAUUAUAAAUUGUGAUUGAAUGAUUAAAUAGAGCAAAGUGAACAGGUAUACAUGCUAUAUUAUAUGAAUUGUUUAUGAGACAACUUUAUAAUGGUGAUAUUUGGGCUUUGAGCCUAGCAAGCUUUAAGCUGGUGAAUAAUAUUAUCGGGUUUAAAACCUAGCAGGCUAAAUGCCGGUGAUUUGAUAAAAGUCUAAGACUAUGAGACCUUGUGUUAAAUCGGCAAUUGAAUUUGUUCAAUGCAUUAAGUUGGCCAGGUAUGUGAUAUAUUCUUAUGCAUGUUAGAUCGAUUGGAAUUGAAUCAUGAGUGUGAAAUGAGAAGCAUAGGUGAAAAUGCCUAUGUCAUACAUGUGAGUAAGGGCAAAACCAUCGUAAAUUAUCGAUAAGGGUGGACUAUGUGCGGAAUCAUCUUAUAAUUGCUAAUUUGAACGGUUGUGUGCGAAUCAUUGAGCAUGAUGUAUUGUAUUGAGAUUAUACUUGAGUGAAAUUAUAGAUAUGUGAUGAAAUUGAUUGGUGAUAUACAUGUUUAAAUAAUGUGAAUGCAAAGAAUGUGUGAAAGAGUAAAUUUGUAAUAAAUCUGCUUGGGACAGAAGCAGUAAUGUGAUUUUAGAAAAUCACCAUAAAUUGUUGGAGUUGAGUUAGAAGCUGAAUAAAUCAUGUAAUUAAAUAUUAAUGAGUCUAGUUUCUUAUAAAAGAAAUCGUGUAAGCAAAAGAAUUGCUGAUAAUGAGAUAUUUGAAGUGGCGUGGGAUAGAGUCAAAUGACUUCGGGGUCCCCUGUUCUGUUUUUAGAAAAUUAUUAUAAUUUGUAAAAAAAUGGUUAUAAGAUAAAAUUUAUAUGCUUAGACUCCUUAAUGAAUCUAGUUUCAAAUGAAAUCAAAUAGAACAUAUUUUGAAUUCUAUACAAUGAGAAAUUUGAUUCGUAGUGAAGAGUGGUCAGAUUAGUUAAACAGUGAAACAGGGGAAACUUUAAGAAAAAUCUGGUAUUGAUUGGCCAAACCUAAAAUUCUGAAAAUUUUAUGGAUGGAAGAUAUAUGAGUUUAUUUUCAGGGAAAAUUAACAGCAAUUGAUUUGGAGUUUUUUAGCUCCAGUUAUAAAUAAUUUAGUGACUAUUGCUCAGGAAGACAACUUGUAGUGAAUUUGUGAUUAUGUUGUAAACAUUGAUAAAACUUGUUAAUGAGUUGCUUAUUGUUUUCUUAUGAACUUACUAAGCGUAAAGCUUACUCCCCUUUUCUUUCCCAUAUUCCUUAGGGUUGCCAUGUUAGCUCGGGUUGGAGGCCGUCAGAGAUAUUAUCACAUUGUCAAGUCUAUACUAUCGGCGUAAGUAAAUCUUAGUGUUUUGAGUCUAUGGCAUGUAUAGGGUUGUAAAGUUGAGUAAGUAAAUGAUACAAGACUAAGAUAUUGGUAAAUAUUUAAUAAUGCCUCAUGAAUAUUUUGGGCCUUGUAAGCCCGAUUAAAGGAUAAUAUACAUGUGUAUGAAAAGUUUAAAAUUGAUCAAAAAUUUUUACGGUCUGAUUUUAUAUAAAUGGAUGAG
Molecule: long non-coding RNA, 2549 nt
Filed under: Gossypium barbadense (sea-island cotton)
Lineage: Eukaryota; Viridiplantae; Streptophyta; Magnoliopsida; Malvales; Malvaceae
Description: long non-coding RNA (GBAR_LNC002738)
Source: RNAcentral